RNAcentral lists this ribosomal RNA (481 nucleotides) under uncultured bacterium. RNAcentral describes it as "bacterial SSU rRNA". It matches the Rfam family "Bacterial small subunit ribosomal RNA", at positions 501 to 985 of the family's 1533-position model. The record is from RNAcentral.
CUACGUGCCAGCAGCCGCGGUAAUACGGAAGGUUCGGGCGUUAUCCGGAUUUAUUGGGUUUAAAGGGAGCGUAGGCCGUGGAUUAAGCGUGUUGUGAAAUGUAGAUGCUCAACAUCUGACUUGCAGCGCGAACUGGUUUACUUGAGUGUGCGCAACGUAGGCGGAAUUCGUCGUGUAGCGGUGAAAUGCUUAGAUAUGACGAAGAACUCCGAUUGCGAAGGCAGCUUACGGGAGCACAACUGACGCUGAAGCUCGAAGGUGCGGGUAUCGAACAGGAUUAGAUACCCUGGUAGUCCGCACAGUAAACGAUGGAUGCCCGCUGUUAGCGCCUGGCGUUAGCGGCUAAGCGAAAGCAUUAAGCAUCCCACCUGGGGAGUACGCCGGCAACGGUGAAACUCAAAGGAAUUGACGGGGGCCCGCACAAGCGGUGGAGCAUGUGGUUUAAUUCGAAGCAACGCGAAGAACCUUACCAGGUCUUGAC